Molecule: ribosomal RNA, 467 nt
Filed under: uncultured bacterium
Lineage: Bacteria
Description: partial 16S ribosomal RNA
Rfam family: Bacterial small subunit ribosomal RNA
Source: RNAcentral
GACGAACGCUGGCGGCGUGCUUAACACAUGCAAGUCGAACGGAAAGGCUCCAGCUUGCUGGAGUACUCGAGUGGCGAACGGGUGAGUAACACGUGGGUAAUCUGCCCUGCACUCUGGGAUAAGCCUGGGAAACUGGGUCUAAUACUGGAUAUGACCUUUCUCCUUAUGGGGUUUGGUGGAAAGUUUUUCGGUGUAGGAUGAGCCCGCGGCCUAUCAGCUUGUUGGUGGGGUGAUGGCCUACCAAGGCGACGACGGGUAGCCGGCCUGAGAGGGUGAUCGGCCACAUUGGGACUGAGAUACGGCCCAGACUCCUACGGGAGGCAGCAGUGGGGAAUAUUGCACAAUGGGCGGAAGCCUGAGGCAGCGACGCCGCGUGAGGGAUGACGGCCUUCGGGUUGUAAACCUCUUUCAGCAGGGACGAAGCGUAAGUGACGGUACCUGCAGAAGAAGCACCGGCUAACUAUGUG